UUUUUUUUUUUGAGAAAAACGUGGCGCACUACCUGCUUCAUUCAUUAAGUGGAAUGAAUUAGGCGUACAUUUUGGAAGCAGUUAGGGCCUCCGAAGCAACGACAGAAGAGUAAAGUAAAAUAGAAAGGAAAAAAAACAUUGAAGAGGAAAAAAGAAGAAAAAAUAGGGGAAAAAAAACAGGUGUCAUCAGCUUAGCGCAAUCCAGGAUUUCGCUAGUAGUUUGAUCCGUUCUAGCGCUCGGAUGGCGUUCGGGGUCUUUGA
This 261-nucleotide long non-coding RNA is filed under the name Ananas comosus (pineapple). Its description in RNAcentral is "long non-coding RNA (ACOM_LNC042945)". The record is from RNAcentral. Lineage: Eukaryota; Viridiplantae; Streptophyta; Magnoliopsida; Poales; Bromeliaceae.